GACGAACGCUGGCGGCGUGCUUAACACAUGCAAGUCGAACGGAAAGGCCCUGCUUUUGUGGGGUGCUCGAGUGGCGAACGGGUGAGUAACACGUGAGUAACCUGCCCUUGACUUUGGGAUAACUUCAGGAAACUGGGGCUAAUACCGGAUAGGAUCUCCUGCUGCAUGGUGUGGGUUGGAAAGUUUCGGCGUUUGGGGAUGGACUCGCGGCUUAUCAGCUUGUUGGUGGGGUAGUGGCUUACCAAGGCUUUGACGGGUAGCCGGCCUGAGAGGGUGAACGGCCACCUUGGGACUGAGAUACGGCCCAGAAUCCUACGGGAGGCAGUAGUGGGGAAUAUUGCACAAUGGGCGGAAGCCUGAUGCAGCAACGCCGCGUGCGGGAUGACGGCCUUCGGGUUGUAAACAGCUUUCGACUGUGACGAAGCGUGAGUGACGGUAAUGGGUAAAGAAGCACCGGCUAACUACGUG
Molecule: ribosomal RNA, 468 nt
Filed under: uncultured bacterium
Lineage: Bacteria
Description: partial 16S ribosomal RNA
Rfam family: Bacterial small subunit ribosomal RNA
Source: RNAcentral